GGGGACGACUGGUAAAUCCUCUCUGUGCACCCAGACUGGGUCUUGCGCUGAAAAACAUCAAAAUCUGAAUUAUACAGAGGCUAUGCAGCACUAUGGGAGGUCUGGAAGACUUCUGGACCCUUAGUGCUUCUGACUUCCUCUCUCUGUGAGCAAAGAGUUAUCACAGGUCAACUGCAGAGUGGAAAGUGUGGCAGCAAAUUCUGGGGCAAACAGGGAAGCAAGCUAAUGCUAUCUGCUGGUUUCACAAGAAAAAAAGUCAGAAAUACCAUAACCACUAAAAGACAUCUUGAAUAA
This 294-nucleotide long non-coding RNA is filed under the name Serinus canaria (Common canary). RNAcentral describes it as "lncRNA (ENSSCAG00000004786.1)". The record is from RNAcentral. Lineage: Eukaryota; Metazoa; Chordata; Aves; Passeriformes; Fringillidae.